This 253-nucleotide ribosomal RNA is filed under the name uncultured bacterium. Its description in RNAcentral is "partial 16S ribosomal RNA". It matches the Rfam family "Bacterial small subunit ribosomal RNA", at positions 524 to 776 of the family's 1533-position model. The record is from RNAcentral.
UACGGAGGGUGCAAGCGUUAAUCGGAAUUACUGGGCGUAAAGCGCACGCAGGUGGCUGAGUCAGUCGAUUGUGAAAGCCCUGGGCUUAACCUGGGAAUUGCAGUCGAUACUACUCAGCUAGAGUAUGGGAGAGGGUAGUGGAAUUCCCGGUGUAGCGGUGAAAUGCGUAGAUAUCGGGAGGAACAUCAGUGGCGAAGGCGGCUACCUAGCCCAAUACUGACACUCAGGUGCGACAGCGUGGGGAGCAAACAGG